CUGCCCCUUCAAGGGGAUACCCCGGGGAACUUGGUUAAUCCCCCAUGGUCCCGUGAAUCGCCAUGAUUUGCGGUUAAAGAUUAUUGGGCCAGGGAUGCCCAUCGGUCCCAUUAGUUAGUUGGUAGGUAACGGCUCACCAAGGCAGGGAUGGUUAGGGGCCCUGAGAGGGGGAUCCCCCACCCUGGUACUGAGCCACGGACCAGACUCCUCCGGGAGGCAGCAGUGAGGAAUAUUGGACAAUGGGCGGGAGCCUGAUCCAGCCAUGCCGCGUGCAGGAUGACGGCCCUAUGGGUUGUAAACUGCUUUUAUACGGGAAGAAACGCGCCCACGUGUGGGCGUUUGACGGUACCGUAAGAAUAAGGACCGGCUAACUCCGUGCCAGCAGCCGCGGUAAUACGGAGGGUCCGAGCGUUAUCCGGAAUCAUUGGGUUUAAAGGGUCCGUAGGCGGGCCUGUAAGUCAGGGGUGAAAGUUUGUGGCUCAACCAUAAAAUUGCCUUUGAUACUGCAGGUCUUGAGUCAUGGUGGGGUUGCCGGAACAUGUGGUGUAGCGGUGAAAUGCAUAGAUAUCACAUAGAACACCGAUCGCGAAGGCAGGUGACCAACCAUGUACUGACGCUGAUGGACGAAAGCGUGGGUAGCGAACGGGAUUAGAUACCCCGGUAGUCCACGCCGUAAACGAUGGAUACUAGCUGUGGGGUUUUCGGACUCCGUGGCCAAGCGAAAGUGAUAAGUAUCCCACCUGGGGAGUACGUUCGCAAGAAUGAAACUCAAAGGAAUUGACGGGGGCCCGCACAAGCGGUGGAGCAUGUGGUUUAAUUCGAUGAUACGCGAGGAACCUUACCAGGGCUUAAAUGCAGGCUGCAUGGGGUAGAGAUACCCCUUUCUUCGGACCGCCUGCAAGGUGCUGCAUGGUUGUCGUCAGCUCGUGCCGUGAGGUGUCAGGUUAAGUCCUAUAACGAGCGCAACCCCUACCGUUAGUUGCCAGCAUGUCAAGAUGGGGACUCUAACGGGACUGCCGGUGCAAACCGUGAGGAAGGUGGGGACGACGUCAAAUCAUCACGGCCCUUACGUCCUGGGCUACACACGUGCUACAAUGGCCGGUACAGAGGGAAGCCACCCCGCAAGGGGGCGCGGAUCUACAAAACCGGUCACAGUUCGGAUCGGGGUCUGCAACUCGACCCCGUGAAGCUGGAAUCGCUAGUAAUCGGAUAUCAGCCAUGAUCCGGUGAAUACGUUCCCGGGCCUUGUACACACCGCCCGUAUCUU
This 1267-nucleotide ribosomal RNA is filed under the name uncultured bacterium. RNAcentral describes it as "bacterial SSU rRNA". It matches the Rfam family "Bacterial small subunit ribosomal RNA", at positions 126 to 1402 of the family's 1533-position model. The record is from RNAcentral.